Molecule: non-coding RNA, 247 nt
Filed under: Streptomyces sp.
Lineage: Bacteria; Bacillati; Actinomycetota; Actinomycetes; Kitasatosporales; Streptomycetaceae
Source: RNAcentral
CUAGAGUGGCGAGGCCGUGGUGUUCGGGAAGCCGGUGACGGACCUUGUGGUCCCAGUCCGGAGCGGCCCUCGCCACUGUGAUCGGGGAGUUUCCACCCCUUCCGCGGGCGCCUGGCGCGCCCGCGGCGCCACUGACCGCAGCCCGCGGCCGGGAAGGCGGGGGCGGAAGCGGGCACCCUCUCCCAAGCUGUAAAGGAGCAGGGUGGCACCCCUAAGCCAGGAGACCGGCCACGGCAUCUCACGAACU